This 560-nucleotide long non-coding RNA is filed under the name Vigna radiata. Its description in RNAcentral is "long non-coding RNA (VRAD_LNC015493)". The record is from RNAcentral. Lineage: Eukaryota; Viridiplantae; Streptophyta; Magnoliopsida; Fabales; Fabaceae.
CAUGCAUCAAUCAUAGGAGCCUUAAUCUCCAAUUUCUUGAAGAUCUCCAUGAAGUACUUGAACCUAUUUUCCUUCCUAUGAUUUUUCUUUUUAUGAGGGAGGGGUUUUUCAUAUGACCUUUUCUUCUUUCCUCUCUUCCUCUUCUUCUUAAUUUUCUCCUCCCUCAGCUUUCUCUUUUUCUUUUUCUUUUCUUUCUUUAUUUUCACGUUUUUUUCUUUUUUUCUUUUCUUUCAACCACUGUUUUUCCUUUCUCAUCAUCCUUCUCACUCUCAUUCAACUUUUCUGUUUCAAUCUCCUCUAUCUUUUCCGCAGCAACAACUUUUUCUGUUUUUAUUUCCUCUUUCUUUUCUUCCUUUAUUUUCUCCUCAUAUAUCUCUGGCUCUUCUUCUUCUUCUAUCUUUUCCUCCUCGACAACCUUAUCAUUUUUAGAGAUAGUGGCUUGACAUUCUUCUAUAGGAAUAACUUCAGUAUUAUCCCUAAUGAUGCCCAGAGACUUCAAUACCUUUGUUAUCUCAUCUUCCUCUAUCUUCUCUCCAUCAAUAACCUUGUCAUCCUCAAAG